This 253-nucleotide ribosomal RNA is filed under the name uncultured bacterium. Its description in RNAcentral is "partial 16S ribosomal RNA". It matches the Rfam family "Bacterial small subunit ribosomal RNA", at positions 524 to 776 of the family's 1533-position model. The record is from RNAcentral.
UACGUAGGGUGCGAGCGUUAAUCGGAAUUACUGGGCGCAAAGCGUGCGCAGGCGGUGAUGUAAGACAGUUGUGAAAUCCCCGGGCUCAACCUGGGAACUGCAUCUGUGACUGCAUCGCUGGAGUGCGGCAGAGGGGGAUGGAAUUCCGCGUGUAGCAGUGAAAUGCGUAGAUAUGCGGAGGAACACCGAUGGCGAAGGCAAUCCCCUGGGCCUGCACUGACGCUCAUGCACGAAAGCGUGGGGAGCAAACAGG